This is a long non-coding RNA of Homo sapiens (human), 1126 nucleotides long. Ensembl annotates it as NDUFV1 divergent transcript. Its record names the gene NDUFV1-DT. Lineage: Eukaryota; Metazoa; Chordata; Mammalia; Primates; Hominidae. The record is from Ensembl.
CCUCUGCUGUGGUCCUCGUGAUAAGAGUGACCUUUUUGGCCUGCUCUCCCCAGCUCUUUUCCAGUCCUCAUGAAGCAGGGUAUCAGCAUUGCUGAGUGGCCUGCCCAGGAUGACACAACUGCCAGAACUCGGCCUGAGGUCUCCUAACAACAAAUCCCCCACUGGUCCCCACCCACUGGAGCACCUACUUGCCAGGCUUCUCAAGCGAAGAAGGAGAUCCACUCUGAUGUCAUCUCCCAGGAGCCUUCUCUGCAGCAUCUCAGGUCCUGGCUCUCACCUCCUCAGCACCCAUCCCAUCCUGUGUCACUCUGUAUAUCAGCCUCCCCAGCCAGCCUCCAGGCCACAAGCCAAGAGGUAUCAAGGGCUCCUCCCUGUCCCACUGGCCCCACAUCCACUGUGUCUAUCUGGUCAACUUUACCUUCCAAACAUUCCCUGCACAGUGAUAGAUGGCUGUGGCCCUGUCAUCUCUCACCUGAAAUUAACAAUGUAUCCUUGGGGCCUCCCACCCUCACAUCUUGGCUCCUCCAGCCCCUUCUCUGCAAACAUGGAACAGUGGGAUUAUUAUAAAUCUCAGACCCGUUUUGCCCCUUUCCUGCCUGAGAGUUUUUGUGGUUCCCCACUGCCCUCAGAACAAAGCUCAAGACCCUUUGGCCUGGCAUUCAAGGUCCUUUGUGCUGCCACCUGUCAACCUCCCCAGUUCCAGCUCCUUUGGCUUUGCCCAUACAAGCUGGAUCUGCACCAGAGGAUCUGUCUUCCUCCCAACUUGGCCCUAGUCCUCCUAGGAGCCCUUUGGACGUCACCUCCCCCAGGAAGCUUUCUGCAACCACCCUACAACCGUCCCUAUAAACUUUAUAAAACCAAUUAGUGUGGGGAAAAGCAAGAGAGAUCAGAUUGUUACUGUGUCUGUGUAGAAAGAAGUAGACAUAGGAGACUCCAUUUUGUUAUGUACUAAGAAAAAUUCUUCUGCCUUGAGAUUCUGUGACCUUACCCCCAACCCCGUGCUCUCUGAAACAUGUGCUGUGUCAACUCAGAGUUGAAUGGAUUAAGGGCGGUGCAAGAUGUGCUUUGUUAAACAGAUGCUUGAAGGCAGCAUGCUCGUUAAGAGUCAUCACCACUCCCUAAUCUC